This is a long non-coding RNA of Neopelma chrysocephalum (saffron-crested tyrant-manakin), 8455 nucleotides long. RefSeq lists it as uncharacterized. Lineage: Eukaryota; Metazoa; Chordata; Aves; Passeriformes; Pipridae. The record is from RefSeq and is a predicted model, not a curated record. The transcript is spliced from 3 exons.
CGGUGUCACAGCAGAAUAUAGAGGUUCCUGAGCUAGUUUUAAGUGAACUGCACUGGAUAUCGCAGAGGAAUCCAGCUGUGGGACUUCAGCAUGGGCUAAAUUUACCCUGCUUCUCUGCACUGUGGCCUUACUCUGGUUUAGAGGUUUGACAAAUUGUCGACAGGUCUGAACACUUCAGGAACAGCCUGGCAUUAAUCCCAGGUUCAAAUAGGAAGUAAAGACUGCCAAAAGACACUGGGAAAAGAAAAAGAGCUGCUUCUCACCAGCGCUUAGAGGACUUCAACCUUUCAAGAGGAGAUUCUGAGCUCCUGAUGAGAGCAGACUUUCAUAAACUCUGUUCCAGUUUUACAAUUGUAUAGCCAGACCAGAUCUUUUGUUCCCAGAACUUCUGAAGUUGCUAAAAAAACAUCAGUUAUUGAAAGCCUCUUUUUUUCUCCUCUUUUGCCAAGAUCGAGUCUCUUAAGUAAUGCUGAGCCUGUGCACAGUGCUCUAUCAGGAGUGAAACUGCAGCUUAUCGUGAAAUGGAGAACCACAGCGUACACCUUUGUGGAGAAGACAGUUGGAGAGAUAGGAGAGCAAUUUCCCCUUCUGUAUAUUGCCUCCUUCCCUGUGCAGACUAUGCAUAGAUAUCAGAGGAAAACUACCAAAUCCAUGAGCCCAAACUGUUUGGAAACACAUUGUAGCACGAAAGUCAGGUUGCUCAGGUCCCAUUUAAUGCCCAGCACAAAGUAAAGCUUCAUGGCCUGCUGUUUCAAAAUAGGGUAGUUUAUUUUAAAUCUUUUAGUAUGUGACUGUGAUUCACCUGGUCAUCUGUGUUUUGAAUGCAGCAGAUUCUAUUGUGUGGGUACAUGUAUAUGGUGUAUACAUGAGUGAGGAAAGCUAGGGGUGACUAACUACUUCCACUUCUCAUUUCUAUGAACUAGAGAUCUGUAUUGUUGCUUAACCUGAAGCUAAGAAUGCAGUAAAUACUGGAUGGUGAGAUUAGAACUUUUUUACAUAACCCAAUGGAGAAGUAACAAAGAGUUUUUCCACAACCAAAUGCUUAUUUCCAGUAUCCAGCAGAAUGCAAGUCUCCUAUCUGAACCACAAAAUCAAAACUGACUAUGAAUGACCAAGGGAAUGAGACAAUUUCUUUAGACAGACAGGUGAAACACUCAAGUGUUUGAUCUUGGACUGCAGAAAAAAUACUGCUCUGAUUCAAUUGUCACUUAAAUGGGUAUAAAUCAGGAAUAGCUCAUGUAAAUCUUACAUUUGUACUGCACCUUCUGGUAAGUCUCAUGGGCUCAACAGUGAUGUGAUCUAAUUUCAAAUGUCAUUGAGUAUUUAUUCAGAAUGAGUUUUACAAGAGUUCUCUGGAGCACUUCUCUGUUUGAAAGGAGAAAGUAGGUUAAAAAAAGGGUAAUUUACAAGGAAAAGACAAGGCAAGAACACUCAGCAUGAGGGCCUGGUUAAACACAUGACAAUGUUUAAUCCUUACUGUUCCUAAUCCUUCAGGCCAGGCUUGCAACACUGGAAGCUUUUCAGUUCUUGCUCUGGGACUUACUGACUGCUAAGAGGACAGAGCAGUCCCAGUCUCCUCAUUUAGUGUUGACUUAAUAGGAACAAUGUAAAGGACAAGAUACAGCAUAUGUUAAAAGUACAUGCCUGUGGGCUACAUAUGUCAUGCAGCUGGAAGGCUGCUGCCUUAUAGAAGUAAUAAUACGGCCAAGAAACAACCAUUACGAUCAGGCAUAUGGGCAGCCAAGUGAGUAAUGCUGCCAGGAGGAAUGCCUACAGUGCAGCAGUUGUGAAAUACUGAUUAAAAAGUCCUGAAGUGGCUGCUUGCCCCUGACAAGUCAUUUCUGCUGAAGCAGGAGUCUUUCCAGGCUGAUAGUUUCUAAAUGCACUUUCAGGCUUAUGCAUUUUGAAUGUCUUUAGCUGAAGCUGGUUUGUUCUUCCUAUCUAUAUCUGCAAUGCCUCCUAUCAUAACCCAUCAUUUCAGCUUAUUGUCACCCUCCUGGGAAUCUUUAGUUCCUCAACAGAGUUGACUGGAAACCUCCCCUCAUGCAUCAUUUCCUGAAGAGUUCAAUCAGCUUAGCAGGAAAGACUGAAGGCCAAAACCUACAAAGAAGAUAAGCUUUGUUAUGGUAAAGAGAACACUAAAUGUAUCUGCUGCUUUUCUUGUUUUUGAUUCCCCCCCCCCUCCUCAUGGUAUGUGAAAGGUGAGGAUGAAAUCUGCCUCUGUCAGACACUGGCUGCUGUUAAAAAUAGACAUGUCUCCAGUAAGAUGUUUUGGGGGAUGGGGUUUGAUAAAGGGUUUUUUAUAUUAUAAUUAAGGAUACAUUAGUGUCAAAUUGCUGGCAAUCUGAUCAAAGCUAUCACUUUGUUCUCCUACUUUUUCUUUUCUUCCUUUCCCAGUUACAUGAAUACAUGGUUGCUCAGAAGUUUUAUUCCUUAUUUUAAAUAAGCACAAUUGUCCCAGUGACCCAAAAGUAAAGCAAGUUGUUAUGCAAGGGUAAACAAUGAAUAUGAUAUGUUCUAUUUAUUUCAUUUAGCCAGUAUUAGAGCUUUAUCCUAAGAAUAUUUGAUUGUUGUGAGAAAAGUCGUAUUAAUAAUAUUUACAAUAAAACAGAAACCAGAACUUAAUAAUAUUCAUGUUCUACAAAAUCAUGUCUGCUUCAAAACAGCCUUAGGAUUUUGACUGCAUCUCAUUCAGCACAGCCAUAUUCAUAAUUUUCUGAGGGCUCCUGAGAGUUAUUUUGUUGCACUCAAGGGUAUUGGUGCUAGUUCUGCCUGCAGUCUGCUCAGCCCUUCACUGCCAGAAGUGUUUGUGAGAUGCAUUUUGUCAUGUAUGUGGCCUUGUGAGGUCUCCAAAAAAAAAGUGUUAAAUUUACACAACAUUCUUAUCUGCUGACAGCUACAUUUUCCUAAUCAGAAUAAGCAAGUUCAGAGUAUGGUUGUUAUUGCUGCUCCUGUUAUUUUAAAAAAUUCCUUAUGGUAAUUGUGCCAAAUGUCACUAUUUGAAGAAGGUAAAGGAGCUGAUCAAGUUAAAUUCUUAGAUUGCUUUGUCAUCUUAAAAGGGUAAAGAGUGACUGCAAAUAUUCUUCAUGAAAAACAAAUGGAGUAUCUGAGGUUUUUUUCACUGAUUUUGCUUGAGUGGAAUAAAUCCCAAUUCAUGGUGGCAGGCAUGAGAAAAGGGCAAGAAUCCUAGGCAAGAAUCCAGGGAAAAUGUAUGCCAACACUUACAAAUGAAAUAAUUGAGAGUUGGUUCCUCCUUGCACACUUACGGCUGGAAGUCAGUGAGAAUUAGUGAUGAAAGUCACUUUUUCCCCUGGCAGAACUUUGCCUGUGUCUUUACUGACAUUUUCCUGUUGGGGUUUGUCAAGUGCCUCUUCCAGAGCACGAAUGACACUACAGCAGACAGCUGCUAAUACCUUUUACUCUGUACAAGAAAAGCUAUUCCCCUUCACCCUUCAUAUUUCAGAGUGGAGCUUUUCUAAGCUAAGGGCACAGAGUUUUAAAGAAGGGUAAAUAUGUUAGCGUGUAUAUCAUACAUACACACACAUAGAUAUAUAUACAUAUUAGGGCAUGCUCAUAGUUUAUUAAUGUUCUUGUGGCUGUAAAUACUGAUGAUAUAGGAAAAUGUAACGUGACCUUAUAAAAAUAAUUUAUUAGUACAUAGUAAAGUACAGGCAACUCAGUUGUUAUUUAUAAUUAACAAAAUUAAGUUUCCCAGACACAAAUGGCAACUAUUGUGGUUUAACCAUAUUUUGAUUUUUGGUUGUUUAAAAAUUUCUAUGACUAAUCUCUUCAUUAUAAGUUCAGGGUUAGCUUGAGUAAUGUAGUGCUGAGAGCAACUAAAUCUGCUCACUGGGGCUGAUGACUCCAGACCCCCUGCACAUAUCCAUUGUGUAGCUACUGCUCUGGAGCAUAGACGCCUACAAUUGUCUGGCUUUUAUUGGCAGGUACAUAGGAAAUUAGAUGUGGCAUUUGAUGGCUCAGUUUCAUUUUGGGGGGUUUACAGUGUUGAUCUCAGCAGAGUUUAGACCAUGUGAUCAUACUGAAAUGCAGUAUUGGACAGAAUUGAGAAAUAUGCUUAUUCAGAGAUCUAACUGUCAACACAAUAAAGAAGAAAUAUUUGCAUUAGGAAUUAUGCUGUCCUUACUCAGCACCUUUUUGUAACCACAUCAGUAGCCAGAACUUGCCAUGCUGCCAUGUGAGCUCAUGAAUGGAUUGGCAUCAAUGUAGUGAGUCUUUUUUCCAGUGUCAAAACAUUGCAGUGCAUUUAGAGUUGCCCCUGGCUAAAGCCAUUUUAAGUGAGAGAGAGAGAGUAUGAAUGAGAUUUACAGUAAAGGUCUUUUCUUCUUUGUAGAUCACUGAAGGGUGGAGGGAGAGCCUCCCCCUGCCCGUCUGUGUGAACUUGGCUAUUCUACACAGUAGCAGGAGCUGGGAUUCCCUGCAAGGUGACUCUUUUGUGAAAUGGCGUGAAACUUGCAGUGAAGGAGUACAUUUGUAUGUGUUAUGGAUUCUACUGGAAAUACGCACGUUUUCUGGAUGUCAUGCUCCUGGUAAGACACCAGAAUGUUAUACCUGCUCUCCUUGUUCCUCCACUUCCCAACUCUUUCUUGUGUGACACAGUACUAGGCAGAGUAACCCAGUCUGAUCAGGAACCAGUUGCCAACCCUCCCUGGGUAUGGUCCUUCAGAGGAGCUCCCUGGUCUUCACAGCAGUGGUGUGUGUGGCAGUGGAGUUUACUGACAGUUCUGAUCAGGUUGAAAGCUACAUUGGCGACAAACAAAAGACUGCAAGCAUCAUUUCAGAUACAAACCUUGCUUAGAAAACAGUUCUCAGCAAACUGAUCUUACAAAGCGCUCGAAAUUGAAACAGUAGAAAUAAUUUCUAUGACUUCCACUCCCAUUGCCAAGAAGGAAUCAGGCCUUCUGGAGAACUCUCCAAAUUGAUCCAGAUACAGAGCUGGGCAGGCAGAGAAGGUGAAUGCUGUUGGCAGCUGGGCAGAGAGCCAGCUAGCGGUUCUCUUCCAGACUUUCAUGGCUGCACAGAGCAUAGCAUCUCCCUCUACCAUUUAGUAAAUUUAUGACAUCACCAGCUGUUACUAGGGAAACACAGAAAAUACAGAUUUAGAUCUUGGCAGCUAGGUGUAAAGAGAAAAUGUCUUGGUUUUUUGGGGGUCAAAAAGGAAAGCUGAAAGAAUUUCAGAACAACUUUGAAUUGGAACAAAUCAAUAAUUCCAAACCAAACAAUUUAGCUGCUAAACUGACAGUGUGGUCCCUAUAUUAUGUCCCUCACAGAAAACAAACAUGGGAGAUCAACUGCAGAACUUCUAACUUCAUGGAGCUUAAACAUAUCCUUUGGACGUAAGACCAUUACUGUUGACUUAGAACUUCAGUUCUGAUCAGUGGAUUUAACAAGUUGCUUUUAGGAACAUGAUAUCCUUCAGAAAGUGCUGAUAAUUGCUGCUUCUUGAGAAAGAGUUUGCUGGUGUUUCACAGCAAAGAAAGUAUGUAGUGUUGAGUUUUGAUAAAACUGUGCAAAUACCAUUACUGUUGUGAUGAAGUAUGUGCUUUUAAUAGCUUUUAAAAAUGCGGGCUUUGUGAGAACGGACAUCUUCAGACAUGUGUUUUGUGGCUUUUAGGUGCUUGAGAUUUUUGAAGUUUUGGGAAUCAUAAUUUUGUCUUUUAGUAACAUUAGCUGACAUUUUAUUUAUGUUGCAUGUUUAAAUGAAAACACUGCUUUUUAAAUGGAUUAUUAUUUGAGUAUUAGGUAGUUGAGGCCCAGCUAAUAUUAGCUCUUCUGCAGGUUUGUUGAUUUCAUUCAAGCUGUACAAAAUGUACAGGUUCGGUAUGUACUUGAGUUACCCAGAAGCAAAUGCAUCUUUGCUGCAAAGGCAGAUGGAACAAGCUCGAGUGAGGACUCAAGCUGAACUCAGGUCUGGAAUUGUAACAGCUGCUUUGUCUCUAUUCAUACCUGCAAGGCUGUGGGCUGAACAUGACUGGAGAUCCCAGGUCAGAAAGGUACAGGUUGUUAUACUCACUAAAUGUGUGGAAGAUCUGUAUUGGAGGGUUAAAGACCUGUGGACUCACCCUAUUUGGCUGUAUCACCACUAAGGACCAAAAUUUUGUAGGAAAAAAUCCCCCCUGUUGCUAAUCUAGUGUCAAAUAUAUCCACGAUGGAGGUUCUUAUGUGGACACUUAGCAGCAUUUCUAGCAGUGUUCCACAACUGUUGUCUUAAACAGCAUAGGAACGUGUUUAAUUUGAUUUGCAUCCUCCAUACCAAAAACCAGGCAAGAUCUUCUUGCUAAACAACCAAUCUCUUUCCCCUGUUUUGUUGGUGGCCUUGGAUCCUGGAAUUUCUAUGUCACAAGAGCAGUUUGCAUACAGUUUGGAUCUUGUUAUCUGGAACAUGGUUCAAUGUUCCCUGUUGUGUCUUGUUUCAGUGGGAUAAUGACCAAGGAAGCUGCUGAGACAUGGGUGGGUUGCCAGGGAUAUGUCAUGAGAAAGCUGUCCAGAGUCAUCUGCCCACAUGCUGUGAUGCUGGCUCCCAUUUCCAAAGCAGGGUUGCAGACAUAGGAGAUCAUUAGUGCUCCAAAGAACUUAGCUAUCUAUGCAAGUUCCUUUUUUUAUCCUUUACAGUGAGUCACUUGGAAAGGCUCCUUUUUUGGUCCUCUUUAGUUCAACUGCUGGUUCCUUUUGCUUGCAUGCCCAGUCACAGCCCUGAGACUUGUGACUGGGGCUGCAACAGCCAUUGGGGCUGUAGUCAUGGUUUAACUCUGGAAUGGUGGAAAUAUUCUUCUUCUUCACUUUUCUUCUUUAAGGACAUGAAAGAUAUUUCUGAAGAGGAAGGAAUUUACUUCUUGGGAAAAUUCAUGUGCAACCAGGAUGGAGUUCCCCAUGCAGACUUUCAGGUGGUAGAUUUGCUCUGAAAUUCCCAUGAGGAGGAGAACAUUUUGUCUUGUGUGGUAAAUUCAUGGUGUUGGCAGUCUAUGCCAUGGUUUUAGAAUUCGGUGCACUCCUGCGGCUUGCACAUACAUACUUUCCAAAAUGGUGUCUCCACUGAAGCUACUCUUCAGUACCCACAAGGGAUCAGGAGGAAGUACUUUGGCCCUGCACGAGCUUCGCACAGGCCUUUAAGAAAAUGAAUUAAUAUGACAAGACUGCAUUAAUCAGACCAAUAUAUGAUACGUAUUAUUUUAUAUUCGCUGUCAAUUAUAAUUGUAGAUUACUACAAGACACCUUCAUCUUGUUGCUGAUGUCUUUUCUAAAUGUGGUGCAGUGGAACAGAAGGGGCAGUAUAGUAGGACAUACAGGGACAGAACAACAAGGAGCUUCUAUAUGAUGCUCUCUUUAGCAUAAACAUAUUGACUCCUGGACAGAGAGAAAAGGCAGUGAAGGAACUUCAGUGGAGAAUAUCCUUAGACAAUAAACAAAUUGUCUUUCUCAUGCUUUCAUCCUCCUUUUUUCCCAGGACACAAAUAGGAAGAAUUAUCCACACCUGAACCUGAGAUUCACUUAUGCUACAUGUGUAUUUAUCAAAUUCAACUGGAUGGGAACCCUGUCCCCUGAAGAACAUACUUGUGAAGAGCUAGAAAUCACAAAUCUAGUAACUGCAUUGAUGUGAGCUGGUAACACAAAUGGAUGCAGAGCAAUUAUCUCCAUUCCAUCUGGAUUGGACUGUGUUGGGAAAAGUGAUAAAGAAAAUUUCUGCUGUACUGGUUAUGUUUGUGAUAGAUGAAAGCCCCUCUAAAGAUGACACUUUAAUGUUCUCUUUCUUGACCUUCUGAUGUAUGUUGAGUUUUGGUUGCUGACUAAAGUAGCAACACAGAUAAUUGGGCUUUUAAAGGCCCUAUUUCAUAAAUCUAAUAACAACACUGAGGGAAGCUGAUGUGUAUUCUCUUCUUGCUAGUGUAUCAUUAAUAGAUCCGGUAUCACAUUUUCCAUGUAAAAUAGCUCCUAAAAAAGGAUCUGGGCUGACUUUCAGGCUCCAGUGGGCUGACCAUUAGGAAGGAAAUCUUCCUGCUACCUUCAUUAGGAAGAAAAGGACAUUGCAUGAGAGACACUUUUCUAAGUAUGCCUCAUCAGCAGCCCUGUGUUGAGGGAUUUGGUGGCCUGCAGCUAGUGGUGUCCUUCAGAAAGGGGACACAAGCCAGUUUUGAGUUGCUAUGCUCCUCUAAAGGGAUUUUGCUAAAAUAGGAGAAGAAUUUAUCACCUCUUAGAAGAUAUUUUGGCUGUACUAUGCAAGCAGUUUAGUAAAAUCUCUGUAUGUGAGUGUUGGCAGUCUUUGAAACAAAAGAAGUAGGGCUGCUUUGUGUGCACUGAAGGAUUUUUGCUAUUGACUUCACUGGAGCCAUAAUUCGUCACCAGAUUCAUAUCCUGAAACCUGAAGUGCCCUUAAAAGGGCUACUGCAAAUUUAUAAAUCAUAAUCACAGUCCUCGGUUGACAUGACAACCAGUACCAUCC